AGCAUAUCAAUAAGCGGAGGAAAAGAAACCAACAGGGAUUGCCUCAGUAACGGCGAGUGAAGCGGCAAGAGCUCAAAUUUGAAAGCUGGGCCUUUCAGGUCCCGCAUUGUAAUUUGCAGAGGAUGCUUCGGGAGUGGUCCCCAUCUAAGUGCUCUGGAACGGGCCGUCAUAGAGGGUGAGAAUCCCGUAUGGGAUGGGGUGUCCACGCCCGUGUGAAGCUCCUUCGACGAGUCGAGUUGUUUGGGAAUGCAGCUCUAAAUGGGUGGUAAAUUUCAUCUAAAGCUAAAUAUUGACCGGAGACCGAUAGCGCACAAGUAGAGUGAUCGAAAGAUGAAAAGCACUUUGAAAAGAGAGUUAAAAAGCACGUGAAAUUGUUGAAAGGGAAGCGUUUGCGACCAGACUCGCCUCUAGGGUUCAACGUGUAUUCGAACACGUCUACUUCCCUUGGGGCGGGCCAGCGUCGGUUUGAGCGGCCGGUAAAAGGCUCUCGGAAUGUAACGCCUCUCGGGGCGUCUUAUAGCCGAGGGUGCCAUGCGGCCAGCUCAGACCGAGGAACGCGCUUCGGCUCGGACGCUGGCAUAAUGGUCGUAAACGACCCGUCUUGAAACACGGACCAAGGAGUCUAACAUCUACGCGAGUGUUCGGGUGUCAAACCCGUGCGCGCAGUGAAAGCGAACGGAGGUGGGAACCCUUUAGGGUGCACCAUCGACCGAUCCUGAUGUCUUCGGAUGGAUUUGAGUAAGAGCGUAGCUGUUGGGACCCGAAAGAUGGUGAACUAUGCCUGAAUAGGGCGAAGCCAGAGGAAACUCUGGUGGAGGCUCGCAGCGGUUUCUGACGUGCAAAUCGAUCGUCGAAUUUGGGUAUAGGGCGAAAGACUAAUCGA
RNAcentral lists this ribosomal RNA (883 nucleotides) under Penicillium taxi. Its description in RNAcentral is "LSU rRNA". It matches the Rfam family "Eukaryotic large subunit ribosomal RNA", at positions 37 to 938 of the family's 3401-position model. The record is from RNAcentral. Lineage: Eukaryota; Fungi; Ascomycota; Eurotiomycetes; Eurotiales; Aspergillaceae.